AUUGAACGCUGGCGGCGUGCUUAACACAUGCAAGUCGAACGAUGAAGCCGGAGCUUGCUCUGGUGAAUUAGUGGCGAACGGGUGAGUAACACGUGAGUAACCUGCCCUUGACUCUGGGAUAACUGCGGGAAACUGUAGCUAAUACCGGAUACGACCCUCGGAGGCAUCUCCUGGGGGUGGAAAGAAUUUCGGUCAAGGAUGGACUCGCGGCCUAUCAGCUAGUUGGUGAGGUAAAGGCUCACCAAGGCGACGACGGGUAGCCGGCCUGAGAGGGUGACCGGCCACACUGGGACUGAGACACGGCCCAGACUCCUACGGGAGGCAGCAGUGGGGAAUAUUGCACAAUGGGCGCAAGCCUGAUGCAGCAACGCCGCGUGAGGGAUGACGGCCUUCGGGUUGUAAACCUCUUUUAGCAGGGAAGAAGCGAAAGUGACGGUACCUGCAGAAAAAGCACCGGCUAACUACGUGCCAGCCGCCGCGGUAA
This 484-nucleotide ribosomal RNA is filed under the name uncultured bacterium. Its description in RNAcentral is "partial 16S ribosomal RNA". It matches the Rfam family "Bacterial small subunit ribosomal RNA", at positions 30 to 523 of the family's 1533-position model. The record is from RNAcentral.